GGAAGCAUGACCUAGGUGUAUCCCGUAUCCUCAAUAUUUUUAAUUUUUGUUUAUUGAUGUUCUGAAUUGUGAAAAGCUAACAGUAGUACAUUUGACUUUUUUUAAGGAAAAAUUUAUGGAAAUAAUAAUUUGUUAAGUCAAAGGAUGAAGCCUUUUUCAAUGUUACUACUUAGGGUGUGGUUGGUAGAAGGUUAAAAAAAAAGGGAUUAAAUGUUACUUUUGUAAGUAUUAACUUUUAAAUAGGGUAAUUAUUAACCUAGGCCCCUCAAGGUUAACAUUUAAUCUCGC
Molecule: unclassified non-coding RNA, 288 nt
Filed under: Hevea brasiliensis (rubber tree)
Lineage: Eukaryota; Viridiplantae; Streptophyta; Magnoliopsida; Malpighiales; Euphorbiaceae
Source: RNAcentral